This 194-nucleotide ribosomal RNA is filed under the name uncultured bacterium WkB37. RNAcentral's name for it is "partial 16S ribosomal RNA". It matches the Rfam family "Bacterial small subunit ribosomal RNA", at positions 338 to 524 of the family's 1533-position model. The record is from RNAcentral.
CCUACGGGAGGCAGCAGUGGGGAAUUUUGGACAAUGGGGGAAACCCUGAUCCAGCAAUGCCGCGUGUGUGAAGAAGGCCUUCGGGUUGUAAAGCACUUUUGUCCGGAAAGAAAACCUUUGGGCUAAUACCCUGAGGGGAUGACGGUACCGGAAGAAUAAGCACCGGCUAACUACGUGCCAGCAGCCGCGGUAAU